AGGACGAACGCUGGCGGCGUGCUUAACACAUGCAAGUCGAGCGAGGCCCUUCCUUCGGGAAGGAGCCCUAGCGGCGAACGGGUGAGUAACACGUGGGCAACCUGCCUCUAGCACUGGGAUAACUCCGGGAAACCGGGGCUAAUACCGGAUAUCACCUCUGCAGGCAUCUGCGGUGGUUGAAAGGAUUCUGGCUAGAGAUGGGCCCGCGGCCUAUCAGCUUGUUGGUGGGGUAACGGCCUACCAAGGCGACGACGGGUAGCCGGCCUGAGAGGGCGACCGGCCACACUGGGACUGAGACACGGCCCAGACUCCUACGGGAGGCAGCAGUGGGGAAUAUUGCACAAUGGGCGAAAGCCUGAUGCAGCGACGCCGCGUGAGGGACGACGGCCUUCGGGUUGUAACCUCUUUCAGCAGGGACGAAGCGCAAGUGACGGUACCUGCAGAAGAAGCGACCGGCCAACUACGUGCCAGCAGCCGCGGU
Molecule: ribosomal RNA, 481 nt
Filed under: uncultured bacterium
Lineage: Bacteria
Description: SSU rRNA
Rfam family: Bacterial small subunit ribosomal RNA
Source: RNAcentral